RNAcentral lists this ribosomal RNA (521 nucleotides) under Pseudoalteromonas sp. RNAcentral's name for it is "bacterial SSU rRNA". It matches the Rfam family "Bacterial small subunit ribosomal RNA", at positions 8 to 526 of the family's 1533-position model. Lineage: Bacteria; Pseudomonadati; Pseudomonadota; Gammaproteobacteria; Alteromonadales; Pseudoalteromonadaceae. The record is from RNAcentral.
AGAGUUUGAUCCUGGCUCAGAUUGAACGCUGGCGGCAGGCCUAACACAUGCAAGUCGAGCGGUAACAUUUCUAGCUUGCUAGAAGAUGACGAGCGGCGGACGGGUGAGUAAUGCUUGGGAACAUGCCUUGAGGUGGGGGACAACAGUUGGAAACGACUGCUAAUACCGCAUAAUGUCUACGGACCAAAGGGGGCUUCGGCUCUCGCCUUUAGAUUGGCCCAAGUGGGAUUAGCUAGUUGGUGAGGUAAUGGCUCACCAAGGCGACGAUCCCUAGCUGGUUUGAGAGGAUGAUCAGCCACACUGGGACUGAGACACGGCCCAGACUCCUACGGGAGGCAGCAGUGGGGAAUAUUGCACAAUGGGCGCAAGCCUGAUGCAGCCAUGCCGCGUGUGUGAAGAAGGCCUUCGGGUUGUAAAGCACUUUCAGUCAGGAGGAAAGGUUAGUAGUUAAUACCUGCUAGCUGUGACGUUACUGACAGAAGAAGCACCGGCUAACUCCGUGCCAGCAGCCGCGGUAAUAC